RNAcentral lists this unclassified non-coding RNA (1609 nucleotides) under uncultured Venturiales. RNAcentral describes it as "sequence contains 18S rRNA gene, ITS1, 5.8S rRNA gene, ITS2, 28S rRNA gene". The stretch from base 664 to 1609 matches the Rfam family "Eukaryotic large subunit ribosomal RNA", at positions 1 to 961 of the family's 3401-position model. Lineage: Eukaryota; Fungi; Ascomycota; Dothideomycetes. The record is from RNAcentral.
GGAAGGAUCAUUACUGAGGUUUCGGGGCUCCGCGAGGAGACUCUGGUUACCCGACCUUUUGUCAUGUGGUUGUUGGAGCUGGGCUUGCCGGACGGUCUGUGCGGCGUGCGCAUCCCGAUGUGGAUGAGUGCGUGGGACGGGCCGGACGGGUCAGGUCGUCCGACGAUUGAUAACUUCGGCGGAGGUGGCAGGCUUUGUUCGUGAGGAGCGAAGACCUGCCCGCCGCCGGCCGUAUGUCGAAACUCUUGUGAGAAGGAUGAAGUCUGACGAAAACGAGAAAUCUAAAAAAAGCAAAACUUUCAACAACGGAUCUCUUGGCUCUGGCAACGAUGAAGAACGCAGCGAAACGCGAAAGUUAAUGCGAAUUGCAGAAUCAGUGAGUCAUCGAGUUUUUGAACGCACAUUGCGCCUCUCGGUAUUCCGGGAGGCACGCCUGUUCGAGCGCCAUUUCACACCCCAAGCGAUGCUUGAUGUUGGACGAUGUUGGCCUGUCUGUCGACUCCCGUUGGGGAGUGGAGGGAAAGGGACGACACGUCUGGAACGCGUUGGCGCCGCCGCCGGACCACGAGCGUAGCAAGACGAUGAAAAAAGUCAAGUCGCUUGGUUGGAACCGGACGGACGGUGAUUGCUAGGAAGUUACUUUCCAAACGAAUUUGAAUGGUUUGGCCUCGGAUCAGGCGGGGAUACCCGCUGAACUUAAGCAUAUCAAUAAGCGGAGGAAAAGAAACCAACCGGGAUUGCCCCAGUAACGGCGAGUGAAGCGGCAACAGCUCAAAUUUGAAAUCUGGGACGUUUCGGUCUCCGAGUUGUAAUUUGCAGAGGAAGCCUCGGAGGGAUGGUCGGUCCAAGUGCCUUGGAACAGGAUACCGCAGAGGGUGAGAGUCCCGUAUCCGGCCGACGCAUCGCUCCGUGUGAGGCUCCUUCGACGAGUCGAGUUGUUUGGGAAUGCAGCUCUAAGCGGGUGGUAAAUUCCAUCUAAAGCUAAAUACUGGCCAGAGACCGAUAGCGAACAAGUAGAGUGAUCGAAAGAUGAAAAGCACUUUGAAAAGAGAGUCAAACAGUACGUGAAAUUGUUGAAAGGGAAGCGCAUGGGGGCAGACUUGGACGCGGGGUUCAGGGUGUCGACUUCGGCGCCUGUACUUCCCCGCGGACAGGCCAGCAUCGGUUCUGGGGGCCGGACAAAGGCGUUGAGAAAGUGGCCGCCUCGGCGGUGUUAUAGCUCGACGUGCAAUGCGGCCACCCGGGACCGAGGACCGCGCUUCGGCAAGGAUGCUGGCGUAAUGGCCUCAUGCGGCCCGUCUUGAAACACGGACCAAGGAGUCUAACAUCUAUGCGAGUGUUUGGGUGGCAAGCCCGGGCGCGCAAUGAAAGUGAACGGAGGUGGGAGCGCUGUGACAGGCGUGCACCAUCGACCGAUCCGGACGUUUUCCGAAGGAUUUGAGUAAGAGCAUAGCUGUUGGGACCCGAAAGAUGGUGAACUAUGCGUGAAUAGGGUGAAGCCAGAGGAAACUCUGGUGGAGGCUCGCAGCGGUUCUGACGUGCAAAUCGAUCGUCAAAUUUGCGUAUAGGGGCGAAAGACUAAUCGAACCAUCUAGUAGCUGGUUCCUGC